GAUGAAGAACGUAGCGAAAUGCGAUACUUGGUGUGAAUUGCAGAAUCCCGUGAACCAUCGAGUCUUUGAGCGCAAGUUGCGCCCGAAGCCACUAGGCCGAGGGCACGCCUGCCUGGGCGUCACACGCCGUUGCCCCCCCAUCUACUCCUUCGGGAUUGCGGGGGGGCGGAUGAUGGCCUCCUGUGCGCCUAGCCGCGCGGUUGGCAUAAAUACCAAGUCCUCGGCGACGCACGCCACGACAAUCGGUGGUUGCGAAACCUCGGUUGCCCGUCGUGUGCGUUCGUCGCGCAUCGAGGGCUCGAAAAAAUGCUCGGCUCCGGCUGGGCUUUCAACGCGACCCCAGGUCAGGCGGGGUUACCCGCUGAAUUUAAGCAUAUCAAUAAGCGGAGGA
RNAcentral lists this unclassified non-coding RNA (391 nucleotides) under soil metagenome. Its description in RNAcentral is "partial contains 5.8S ribosomal RNA, internal transcribed spacer 2, and large subunit ribosomal RNA". The stretch from base 1 to 122 matches the Rfam family "5.8S ribosomal RNA", at positions 35 to 154 of the family's 154-position model. The record is from RNAcentral.